RNAcentral lists this ribosomal RNA (253 nucleotides) under uncultured bacterium. RNAcentral describes it as "partial 16S ribosomal RNA". It matches the Rfam family "Bacterial small subunit ribosomal RNA", at positions 524 to 776 of the family's 1533-position model. The record is from RNAcentral.
UACGUAGGGCGCAAGCGUUGUCCGGAAUUAUUGGGCGUAAAGAGCUCGUAGGCGGUUUGUCGCGUCUGCUGUGAAAACCUAAGGCUCAACCUUGGGCUUGCAGUGGGUACGGGCAGACUGGAGUGCGGUAGGGGAGAAUGGAAUUCCUGGUGUAGCGGUGGAAUGCGCAGAUAUCAGGAGGAACACCGAUGGCGAAGGCAGUUCUCUGGGCCGUAACUGACGCUGAGGAGCGAAAGCGUGGGGAGCGAACAGG